GGCUAACUUCGUGCCAGCAGCCGCGGUAAUACGAAGGGUGCAAGCGUUACUCGGAAUUACUGGGCGUAAAGCGUGCGUAGGUGGUUUUUUAAGUCCGUUGUGAAGGCCCUGGGCUCAACCUGGGAAUGGCAGUGGAUACUGGAAAGCUAGAGUGCGGUAGAGGGUAGUGGAAUUCCCGGUGUAGCAGUGAAAUGCGUAGAGAUCGGGAGGAACACCAGUGGCGAAGGCGGCUACCUGGACCAGCACUGACACUGAGGCACGAAAGCGUGGGGAGCAAACAGGAUUAGAUACCCUGGUAGUCCACGCCCUAAACGAUGCGAACUGGAGGUUGGGUGCAACUUGGCACUCAGUCUCGAAGCUAACGCGUUAAGUUCGCCGCCUGGGGAGUACGGUCGCAAGACUGAAACUCAAAGGAAUUGACGGGGGCCCGCACAAGCGGUGGAGUAUGUGGUUUAAUUCGAUGCAACGCGAAGAACCUUACCUGGUCUUGACAUGUCCGGAAUCCUGCAGAGAUGCGGGAGUGCCUUCGGGAAUCGGAACACAGGUGCUGCAUGGCUUC
RNAcentral lists this ribosomal RNA (559 nucleotides) under uncultured Gammaproteobacteria bacterium. Its description in RNAcentral is "bacterial SSU rRNA". It matches the Rfam family "Bacterial small subunit ribosomal RNA", at positions 495 to 1052 of the family's 1533-position model. The record is from RNAcentral. Lineage: Bacteria; Pseudomonadati; Pseudomonadota; Gammaproteobacteria.